GCCCAAUUGGUCGACUCCUUGGUCCGUGUUACAAGACGGGUCGCUGGCAACCAUUACGCCAGCAUCCUAGCAGAGCGCGAUCCUCAGUCCGGGCUGGCCGCAUUGCACGCGGGGCUGUAACACUCCCCGAAGAGAGCCACGUUCCCCGCGCCUUUGUCCGACCGCCCGAACUGAUGCUGGCCCGCGGACGGGGAGUACACCGCCCCGAAGGGUGGCUGAACCCCGCGCGCGAGUCUGGUUGCAAGCGCUUCCCUUUCAACAAUUUCACGU
Molecule: unclassified non-coding RNA, 270 nt
Filed under: Hevea brasiliensis (rubber tree)
Lineage: Eukaryota; Viridiplantae; Streptophyta; Magnoliopsida; Malpighiales; Euphorbiaceae
Source: RNAcentral